CCUACGGGAGGCAGCAGUGGGGAAUUUUGGACAAUGGGCGCAAGCCUGAUCCAGCCAUGCCGCGUGAGUGAAGAAGGCCUUCGGGUUGUAAAGCUCUUUCGGCAGGAACGAAAUGGUUCGUGCUAAUACCACGGACUGAUGACGGUACCUGAAGAAGAAGCACCGGCUAACUACGUGCCAGCAGCCGCGGUAAUACGUAGGGUGCAGGCGUUAAUCGGAAUUACUGGGCGUAAAGCGUGCGCAGGCGGUUUCUUAAGUCAGAUGUGAAAGCCCCGGGCUUAACCUGGGAACUGCGUUUGAAACUGGGAGACUUGAGUGUGGCAGAGGGGGUGGAAUUCCACGUGUAGCAGUGAAAUGCGUAGAUAUGUGGAGGAACACCGAUGGCGAAGGCAGCCCCCUGGGCUAACACUGACGCUCAUGCACGAAAGCGUGGGGAGCAAACAGGAUUAGAUACCCUGGUAGUCCACGCCCUAAACUAUGUCAACUGGUUGUCGGGAGAUUAACUCUCUUGGUAACGAAGCUAACGCGUGAAGUUGACCGCUGGGGAGACGCGCGAGUAAACGUAAAUAGAUAGAGNGNGNGAGNGCGAGACGACGACGAGGAGGAGG
This 608-nucleotide ribosomal RNA is filed under the name uncultured bacterium. RNAcentral's name for it is "bacterial SSU rRNA". The stretch from base 1 to 542 matches the Rfam family "Bacterial small subunit ribosomal RNA", at positions 338 to 873 of the family's 1533-position model. The record is from RNAcentral.